CUCUUCUCUUCUCUUCUCUUGUGGGGAGCUCUCGCUUUUUCUCUCUAGUUUCCUUGUUUCUGCAAGGUCUGAUGGUUGAGCUACAAGGAUGGAUAGUCCACUUUGAAGAUAGUGGAAGAGAGAGAAAAAGACAGCCUCGGGGUAGAAAUGUAAAUAGUGGUUUUGGGGAAUAUGUGAGGAAUAGUGCUUUGUCUGUUAAGAGAGAGAGGGAGAGAGAGUGUGAAUGACUGAGAGAAAGGCUGGGCAGCUGAAGCCUGCAGUAGUUAUGGAGGGCAAAGUGAAGUUUCCCAGAAAGGGGGGGUUUGUGUGAUGAGUUAAUGAUGAUGCAUGGGAUUCUCACGGUUUGGGCAAUUGACAAGAGAUAUCAGUACGUAUGAGGAAUGGUUCCAAGCGCCGGCGACGUGUCAC
This 408-nucleotide long non-coding RNA is filed under the name Hordeum vulgare. RNAcentral's name for it is "long non-coding RNA (HVUL_LNC019253)". The record is from RNAcentral. Lineage: Eukaryota; Viridiplantae; Streptophyta; Magnoliopsida; Poales; Poaceae.